This 504-nucleotide ribosomal RNA is filed under the name uncultured bacterium. Its description in RNAcentral is "partial 16S ribosomal RNA". It matches the Rfam family "Bacterial small subunit ribosomal RNA", at positions 30 to 523 of the family's 1533-position model. The record is from RNAcentral.
AUUGAACGCUGGCGGCAGGCCUAACACAUGCAAGUCGAACGGUAGCACAGAGAGCUUGCCCUCGGGUGACGAGUGGCGGACGGGUGAGUAACGUCUGGGAAACUGCCCGAUGGAGGGGGAUAACUACUGGAAACGGUAGCUAAUACCGCAUAACGUCGCAAGACCAAAGUGGGGGACCUUCGGGCCUCACACCAUCGGAUGUGCCCAGAUGGGAUUAGCUAGUAGGGGGGGUAAUGGCUCACCUAGGCGACGAUCUCUAGCUGGUCUGAGAGGAUGACCAGCCACACUGGAACUGAGACACGGUCCAGACUCCUACGGGAGGCAGCAGUGGGUAAUAUUUCACAAUGGGCGUCAGCCUGAUGCAGCCAUGCCGCGUGUAUGAAGAAGGCCUUCGGGUUGUAAAGUACUUUCAGCGGGGAGGAAGGCGGUGAAGUUAAUAACUUCACCGAUUGACGUUACCCGCAGAAGAAGCACCGGCUAACUCCGUGCCAGCAGCCGCCGUAA